Molecule: ribosomal RNA, 465 nt
Filed under: uncultured bacterium
Lineage: Bacteria
Description: bacterial SSU rRNA
Rfam family: Bacterial small subunit ribosomal RNA
Source: RNAcentral
CCUACGGGGUGCACCAGUGGGGAAUAUUGCACAAUGGGCGCAAGCCUGAUGCAGCCAUGCCGCGUGUAUGAAGAAGGCCUUCGGGUUGUAAAGUACUUUCAGCGGGGAGGAAGGUGUUGUGGUUAAAAACCACAGCAAUUGACGUUACCCGCGGAAGAAGCACCGGCUAACUCCGUGCCAGCAGCCGCGGUAAUACGGCGGGUGCAAGCGUUAAUCGGAAUUACUGGGCGUAAAGCGCACGCAUGCGGUCUGUUAAGUCGGAUGUGAAAUCCCCGGGCUCAACCUGGGAACUGCAUUCGAAACUGGCAGGCUAGAGUCUUGUAGAGGGGGGUAGAAUGCCAGGUGUAGCGGUGAAAUGCGUAGAGAUCUGGAGGAAUACCGGUGGCGAAGGCGGCCCCCUGGACAAAGACUGACGCUCAGGUGCGAAAGCGUGGGGAGCAAACAGGAUUAGAUACCCUUGUAGUC